UAUCUCUGUAGAGUCUGCAUAUCAAUAAGCGGAGGAAAAGAAACUAACAAGGAUUCCCUUAGUAACGGCGAGUGAAGCGGGAAGAGCUCAAAUUUGAAAUCUUCAAGGUUCUACCUUGACGAAUUGUAGUUUAAAGAAGUGUUUUCUGUUAGAUGAGUAGCUAAAAGUUCCUUGGAAUAGGGACAGUCAUAGAGGGUGAGAAUCCCGUAUUUGGUUAUUCAUUCUAGCUUUGUGAUACACUUUCAAAGAGUCGGAUUGUUUGGGAAUGCAGUCCAAAAUGGGUGGUAAAUUUCAUCUAAAGCUAAAUAUUGGCGAGAGACCGAUAGCGAACAAGUACCGUGAGGGAAAGAUGAAAAGAACUUUGAAAAGAGAGUUAAACAGUACGCGAAAUUGUCAAAAGGGAAGCGUUUGACACCAGUGUUGUUUUUCUCCGAAAAUCAAUUACGAAUGGCUUGAUUUUGUGUUGUAUUGACCUUAUCAAGCUUUCUUCACUUUUUUCGAGUCUUUCUUAAUGCACUUUUCGUUUAACAAGUCAACAUCAAGUUUCUUUUGUUGUAAAAGAGUAUUCGGAAGGUGGCUUUCUUUUCGGAGAAAGUGUUUAUAGCCCUAUACUUCUACAAUCGGAGAGAUUGAGGUCUGCAGCGUAGAUCCUUCUGGAUUAGAUACACUUGUGCUAAGUUGUAAGCGUUUCAUAGACAACUUGUUGACUAUGUUUAGUCCUUGCGGCUUACUCGCUUAGUGCUAAUUUUACCUACGCUUAGGAUGUUGACUGAUAUGUAGUCGU
Molecule: ribosomal RNA, 784 nt
Filed under: uncultured Neocallimastigales
Lineage: Eukaryota; Fungi; Neocallimastigomycota; Neocallimastigomycetes; Neocallimastigales
Description: partial large subunit ribosomal RNA
Rfam family: Eukaryotic large subunit ribosomal RNA
Source: RNAcentral